RNAcentral lists this unclassified non-coding RNA (872 nucleotides) under Leishmania donovani. RNAcentral's name for it is "gene:LdHU3.28.0150(CDS-product:DNA-direcetd_RNA_p olymerase_II_subunit_9_putative)". Lineage: Eukaryota; Euglenozoa; Kinetoplastea; Trypanosomatida; Trypanosomatidae. The record is from RNAcentral.
GGAUUUGCUAUGAGCAGACGUGUAGCCGUCGGCGUAAAAAGAAAAAGAGAAGAGGCGUCUUUGUGCACCUCCCCGGCGAUAUCGAGUUUGACCGCCGCUCGUGUUUCCUCGCUGCUUUGCCUUUCGUAACGUUUGUGUCCGCUAUAUCUCGCCUGUGUCUCAGGCGCGAUGGAGGCGGAGGAGAUCACGCAGGUGAGCAUUGGCAAUGCCACCACCGCACCGAUGCUUUUCUGCUCACGCUGCAACAACCUCCUUUACCCCGAGUGUGAUGAUGACAACUACAGCAUGACGUGGCGCUGCAACUACUGCAAAACGACUGAGCAGCACGAUGACUGCAAGCUCGUCCACGUUAUGAACCUGAAGAUGAAAGCGGACGCGAUCGGUGGCAUGGAUCUCAUUGCCGAGUUCGCCAACGACCCGACCGCGCAGCGUGAUCCUGAGAAGCCUUGCCCCAAGUGCGGCAAGAAGGGCGUUGCUUGCUUCGUGAACCCGCUCGGCCAACCGCAGGAGGACAUGACACUUUACUUUGCUUGCUCUGAUACGGUGUGUCGCCACGUUUGGAAGGGUGCUGCCGCCGAGGACCAGAACUAGCAUGACGCGCCUCGGCUCAGAACGGGGCGGGGGGCAGGUCGGCUAAAGUGCAGCUCUGCCCUUUGCGCCACAGCGCUCUCGCGUUCGUUUGUUUUUCUUUGCUAAAAUGUGGGACAAGACAUUGAUCAGAUGACGUACCAUGCGCGACUCUGGGGUACAGUCUCCCCUCCCCCUCCCCAUUUUCAUUACAAGAAUGAAAGGUUUUGUGUGCUCCUGUGCUAUCCGCCUUGCAUCGCCAUCGACCGCGUCGUUGUCUUUCCUGCAGCGGUGUCCUGGAAAUG